Molecule: ribosomal RNA, 464 nt
Filed under: uncultured bacterium
Lineage: Bacteria
Description: bacterial SSU rRNA
Rfam family: Bacterial small subunit ribosomal RNA
Source: RNAcentral
GAUGAACGCUGGCGGCGUGCAUAACACAUUCAAGUCGAACGGACUAAUGGGGCUUGCUCCAUUAGUUAGUGGCGGACGGGUGAGUAACGCGUGAGUAACCUACCUGUAUGUGUGGAAUAACACAGGGAAACUUGUGCUAAUACCGCAUAAUGUAUAAAUAUCGCAUGAUAUAUAUACCAAAGAGCAAUUGCAUACAGAUGGACUCGCGUCUGAUUAGAUAGUUGGUGAGGUAACGGCCCACCAAGUCUACGAUCAGUAGCCGAACUGAGAGGUUGAACGGCCACAUUGGAACUGAGAAACGGUCCAGACUCCUACGGGAGGCAGCAGUGGGGAAUAUUGGGCAAUGGGCGAAAGCCUGACCCAGCGACGCCGCGUGAGGGAAGAAGGUUUUCGGAUUGUAAACUGCUUUAGACAGGGAAGAACAAAGACAGUACCUGUAGAAUAAGCUCCGGCUAAACUACGUG